Molecule: transfer RNA, 72 nt
Filed under: Bos taurus (domestic cattle)
Lineage: Eukaryota; Metazoa; Chordata; Mammalia; Artiodactyla; Bovidae
Also listed under: 1 other name
Rfam family: tRNA
About the family: Transfer RNA (tRNA) molecules are approximately 80 nucleotides in length. Their secondary structure includes four short double-helical elements and three loops (D, anti-codon, and T loops). Further hydrogen bonds mediate the characteristic L-shaped molecular structure. tRNAs have two regions of fundamental functional importance: the anti-codon, which is responsible for specific mRNA codon recognition, and the 3' end, to which the tRNAs corresponding amino acid is attached (by aminoacyl-tRNA synthetases). tRNAs cope with the degeneracy of the genetic code in two manners: having more than one tRNA (with a specific anti-codon) for a particular amino acid; and 'wobble' base-pairing, i.e. permitting non-standard base-pairing at the 3rd anti-codon position.
Source: Rfam by way of RNAcentral
UCCCUGGUGGCUCAGAGGUUAAAGCAUCUGCCCGCAAUGCGGGAGACCUGGGUUCGAUCCCUGGGUGGGGAA